UACGGAGGGUGCAAGCGUUAUCCGGAUUCACUGGGUUUAAAGGGUGCGUAGGCGGGCAGGUAAGUCCGUGGUGAAAUCUCUGAGCUUAACUCGGAACGGCCAAGUGAAACUGUCAAGCUAGAGUGCAGAAGGGGCAAUCGGAAUUCUUGGUGUAGCGGUGAAAUGCGUAGAUAUCAAGAGGAACACCUGAGGUGAAGACGGGUUGCUGGGCUGACACUGACGCUGAGGCGCGAAAGCCAAGGGAGCAAACGGG
Molecule: ribosomal RNA, 253 nt
Filed under: uncultured bacterium
Lineage: Bacteria
Description: partial 16S ribosomal RNA
Rfam family: Bacterial small subunit ribosomal RNA
Source: RNAcentral